This is a long non-coding RNA of Symphalangus syndactylus (siamang), 1069 nucleotides long. RefSeq lists it as uncharacterized. The record is from RefSeq and is a predicted model, not a curated record. Lineage: Eukaryota; Metazoa; Chordata; Mammalia; Primates; Hylobatidae.
CCAGAACAUUUCAGGGUGGAGAAACAGCAUUCUCAGACAUUUCCCUAGUGGCAAAUACAAUUCACCUAUUGCCAAAGUGCUUUAAUCUUCAUUCAAAAUUAAAACUUUUUGAGAUAAGAAAAAGUUGUGUGGAUCAUGGCCAAAAGGCAGGACUAAAUUGCAGCUCCAACUCAGUCAGACAGAGCAGCGCGUGGAGGCUUGCAUCACAGAUUUUAGCUCCAGAUCUACUGCAAGAACAAGCCAGGAAUCCCAAGAGGACCCACAGACCCUCAGAAGGAAGCAGACUGCUCCUGCAGGACCCGGGAGACACCCCAAAUACUGAUGAACUAAGAUUUAGGACAGGUUCCUACGAUGUACCUUGAUGUUGGAAAAGAAAACCAAACCCAGAUGCAGAGCACCCAGAAACAUGACAGCCUCUCUGAGGAAUAUUUAAGUAGACAUAUGAAGAGAGAAUGAAUCAUGCAGAUAACAGGUAGAAGGAAAGGCAAUUGUGAGAGACCUGAUGCCACCUCAUGAUUGAUGGAUUUGAGGAAAACAAGGAGGCUUUUGCUGGUGGGAAGUAGAAAAGCUUGCCUCACACAAAUAUGUAGUUAAAGAAGGACUACCCCCAGAAAUUCUCAGACUACACUUUCGAAUCCAAUGAUGUGAAAAAAAUUAAGCAGAAUUGAAGUGAGGAAUUAAAGGAUCAUAUUCAUUUAGAAGAGAAAAGAACAAAAGCAGAAGGAAAAGAAGAAGAAAAAAAGAACAAGAACAAAGGGAAAAAACUGAAAAAGAAGAGAAAAUAAAAAUGGUAAAAUAGAAGAUAAAAAAGAAUGAAGCAAACAGCAGGUAAAAAAGGUCUAUUUUAGCUGUUUUCACACAUAGAUCAGAAGAGAGAAAGCCUUAACUGCAACUACUUAGAAGCAGCCCAUCUAUCAUAUCCUGUCACUAUCUGGAGAGUGUUAAGAAGAAUAUUUCAGCAUGAAAUGCUAAUAUAACUAGUGUUGUAAUCUACAAAAGGUACAUGCUCUAAGAAAGCCAUAACUCUGAAGGGUUUUACCAUUAACAGGGAAGAAGAGAUAUUUAACAU